UGAAGGGCAAAUGAGGUAGGAGGAAAUACAAAUUUCGUUUCAGCACCGUUGGAGUGCCAAGCCGUGAAAAGCAUUUGGCCAGAAGACAAGGUGGUGUCCUUUUCAGCUUGGAGGAGGGAGCCUCCUUCUGGAACCAGAUGUUGACCUGGAGAAUCUUCUUCGCUUCCAUGAUCUCGACCUUCACCUUGAACUUCUUCAUGAGUAUCUACCACAACAAGCCGGG
Brienomyrus brachyistius is the source of this 223-nucleotide long non-coding RNA. RefSeq lists it as uncharacterized. Lineage: Eukaryota; Metazoa; Chordata; Actinopteri; Osteoglossiformes; Mormyridae. The transcript is spliced from 3 exons. The record is from RefSeq and is a predicted model, not a curated record.